This 497-nucleotide ribosomal RNA is filed under the name uncultured bacterium. RNAcentral's name for it is "partial 16S ribosomal RNA". It matches the Rfam family "Bacterial small subunit ribosomal RNA", at positions 28 to 507 of the family's 1533-position model. The record is from RNAcentral.
GACGAACGCUGGCGGCGUGCCUAAUACAUGCAAGUUGAGCGCUGAAGGUUGGUACUUGUACCGACUGGAUGAGCAGCGAACGGGUGAGUAACGCGUGGGGAAUCUGCCUUUGAGCGGGGGACAACAUUUGGAAACGAAUGCUAAUACCGCAUAAAAACUUUAAACACAAGUUUUAAGUUUGAAAGAUGCAAUUGCAUCACUCAAAGAUGAUCCCGCGUUGUAUUAGCUAGUUGGUGAGGUAAAGGCUCACCAAGGCGAUGAUACAUAGCCGACCUGAGAGGGUGAUCGGCCACAUUGGGACUGAGACACGGUCCAAACUCCUACGGGAGGCAGCAGUAGGGAAUCUUCGGCAAUGGACGAAAGUCUGACCGAGCAACGCCGCGUGAGUGAAGAAGGUUUUCGGAUCGUAAAACUCUGUUGGUAGAGAAGAACGUUGGUGAGAGUGGAAAGCUCAUCAAGUGACGGUAACUACCCAGAAAGGGACGGCUAACUACGUG